AAAUUCAUUGAGAGGACCUUUCCCCUGUAUGAGAGGACCGGGAAGGACGCACCUCUGGUGUACCAGUUAUCAUACCCAUGAUAAACAUUGGGUAGCCAAGUGCGGAGCGGAUAAUUGGUAAGCCCACCCCAAGAUGAGGGCUUUCCUAUUCCUACUUCCUCAAAGCCUCUGGUAGCAUGGACGGUACAGUGACGGGUUCUCUAUCCCUGUGGGGAUGGAGCGACAAAAGUAUUGAGAAUUCAGGAUAAGGUCAUGGUGAGGCGAGCUAUUUAUCAUCACAAUAGGUGUCAAGUGGAAGUGUACUGAUGUAUGCAGCUGAGGCAUCCUAACAGACCAA
Molecule: non-coding RNA, 337 nt
Filed under: Amborella trichopoda
Lineage: Eukaryota; Viridiplantae; Streptophyta; Magnoliopsida; Amborellales; Amborellaceae
Description: Bacterial large subunit ribosomal RNA
Rfam family: Bacterial large subunit ribosomal RNA
Source: Rfam by way of RNAcentral